GAUGAAGAACGUAGCGAAAUGCGAUAAGUAAUGUGAAUUGCAGAAUUCAGUGAAUCAUCGAAUCUUUGAACGCACCUUGCACCCUUUGGUAUUCCGAAGGGUAUGCUCGUUUGAGUGUCAUUGUACUCUCACACUUCUAAUUCCUUUCGGGAUUGGGAGCGGUGGACUUGGGUGUUGCUGCUUUAGUUGUGGCUCACCUCAAAUAAGUUAGUGCAACUCUUGGUUGGACAUAGUACGGCGUGAUAAGUGUCUUCGCCGGCGCCUCUGUAAGGAGGGUGGCCGAUCGGGAGCUCUGUGCUUCAAACCGUCUUCGGACAAUCUUUGACAACUUGACCUCAAAUCGAGUAGGACUACCCGCUGAACUUAAGCAUAUAAAUAAGCGGAGGA
Molecule: unclassified non-coding RNA, 387 nt
Filed under: soil metagenome
Description: partial contains 5.8S ribosomal RNA, internal transcribed spacer 2, and large subunit ribosomal RNA
Rfam family: 5.8S ribosomal RNA (bases 1-120)
Source: RNAcentral